This 264-nucleotide ribosomal RNA is filed under the name uncultured bacterium. Its description in RNAcentral is "partial 16S ribosomal RNA". It matches the Rfam family "Bacterial small subunit ribosomal RNA", at positions 88 to 354 of the family's 1533-position model. The record is from RNAcentral.
CCGGCGACCGGCGCACGGGUGAGUAACACGUAUGCAACCUGCCCGUCUCAGGGGGAUAAUCGUCGGAAACGGCGUCUAAUACCCCGUAUGAAGCUGGACGGCAUCGUCUGGUUUUGAAAGAAUAUCGGAGACGGAUGGGCAUGCGGCGCAUUAGGCAGUAGGCGGGGUAACGGCCCACCUAACCGACGAUGCGUAGGGGUUCUGAGAGGAAGGUCCCCCACACUGGUACUGAGACACGGACCAGACUCCUACGGGAGGCAGCAG